This 681-nucleotide long non-coding RNA is filed under the name Populus trichocarpa (black cottonwood). RNAcentral's name for it is "long non-coding RNA (PTRI_LNC004039)". Lineage: Eukaryota; Viridiplantae; Streptophyta; Magnoliopsida; Malpighiales; Salicaceae. The record is from RNAcentral.
GCAAGCAAUGCAGCACGAGCCUUCCCCACAUUCUCCGGCUUGCCAGCCCAGGCCUUGAGGGUACUCUGCUGAAGAGCACGUCCAAAGGAAAAGGAUAGAGACCAUGGCUUCUUGGUGUUUAGUUUGUUCAUGGCAUUGAGGUUGAGGGUGGCCUCCUCCUCACUCUGGCCACCAGACAAGAAUACAAUAGCAGGAACUGCAGGGGGCACAGUACGUUGAAGUGCACGGACUGUGUACUCGGCAAUAACCUCAUGUGCAACCUUGGGAGCUUCUGAUCCAGGAGUAACCAUGUUCGGCUUCAAGAGAGUACCCUCAAGUAUGGCAUGGUGAUCAUUGAGAGCUUUGUAGCAUGCAGCAAGAACACGCUCUGUUACUGCGGCACACUUCUCAAUAUCGUGAGAACCAUCAACCAAGAUUUCAGGCUCUACAAUGGGGACCAAGCCAUUUUCCUGGCAGAUGACGGCAUAUCUGGCUAAACCAUAGGCAUUCUCAUGGAUGGCCAGCUCAGAUGGCUCAUUGGCACCAAUAUUGAGCACAGCACGCCAUUUGGCGAAACGUGCACCAGCUUCGUAGUACUUUGCGCAGCGCUGGCCAAGGCCAUCAAGACCCUGAGUUGUGGUCUCACCGUUUGUGCCAGCAAGCUCAACGGUACCCUUGUCAACCUUGAUACCAGGGAGAACA